This is a long non-coding RNA of Vicia villosa (hairy vetch), 1119 nucleotides long. RefSeq lists it as uncharacterized. Lineage: Eukaryota; Viridiplantae; Streptophyta; Magnoliopsida; Fabales; Fabaceae. The transcript is spliced from 3 exons. The record is from RefSeq and is a predicted model, not a curated record.
UGCUGGUUUAGAUGUUGCGUCGAAGUUGUCAACUCUGAGGUCUGAACUUGCUAAGGCUGGUUCAUCUGCAAUUAUCGUCUCUGCGCUUGAUGAAAUUGCGUGGCUGUUAAACUUGGUAAUGCAUCUUAACAUCACCUAUUAACUUGAUGUACUGCUGAUUGUUAUUUGUAUGCAAUCACAUAUCAUUGUAAAGCUUCAUUCCGGGUAUUUUCAAGCUGUUUAGGUCUAAUAUAAGUUGCUCAUUGAUUUCCUUGCUUCCUCUGCUUUUCUCUGUUGAUGGUUUAAUCAGUGAGAGUAACUUUUGACUUUUUCUUUGAAGAGAGGCAUCGAUAUCCCACAUUCACCUGUCGUGUAUGCAUAUUUGAUUGUGGAGAUUGAUGGAGCUAAAUUAUUUAUCGACAAUUCAAAAGUUACUGAAGAGGUGGAUGACCACUUGAAGAAAGCAAACAUAGAGAUCAGGCCAUACAAUUCAAUUAUAUCAGAGAUUGAAAAGUAAUUAUUGGAAUACUCUUUUUUUGAAUUUUCUCGACCCUUCCAUUUCUCAUAUCAUUUAGUAGAAAUGGCCAAGAAUAUUACAUUAGAUAGGCCGAUGUGGCUUAAAAUAGUAGCUGAAAGGAAUGCAAGAUUGUCAUUUAAGAAUUCCUUUGGAUUCAGUGCUUGAAGAGGAUAGUCUUCCAUAGAGUGUUUACUAACUUGUGAAGGAAGAUGAAUAUGUGGUGAUAUUAAGGUGGCUCUUACUUUUACACGAGUUGAAGAGAAAUUAUGAACAAGGCUACAAUGAAGAGGAGGAGAGCUCAGAGUUGUGGUGAAUCAGCAAGAGAUUUUUGAAGUGAAUGAAGGAUUUAAAUAUUUCCAAGAUUCAGAAUUACUUCUAUAAAAAAAAUAGUAUCUAUUGCCUGUAAUUUUAGUCAUUCUGUUUUCUGUGUGAUGAUCUCAUAGUGUUCUGCUUUGAUUUUCAUUCUUUUUGGUGUAAACUAUAUUAUGUUGAAUAAGUGAUAUUUUAUGCAUAUGUAUGAAUGACGGCAUCGCGUGACUUACAUGGAUGAUGAAAAUCAUAUUUAAUUAUGGCAUAAAAAUUUGUAAAAUGAGUAUGGACAGAUACAAUAAAUGUAGAUAUUU